GACGAACGCUGGCGGCGUGCUUAACACAUGCAAGUCGAACGGAAAGGCCCUGCUUUUGUGGGGUGCUCGAGUGGCGAACGGGUGAGUAACACGUGAGUAACCUGCCCUUGACUUUGGGAUAACUUCAGGAAACUGGGGCUAAUACCGGAUAGGAGCUCCUGCUGCAUGGUGGGGGUUGGAAAGUUUCGGCGGUUGGGGAUGGACUCGCGGCUUAUCAGCUUGUUGGUGGGGUAGUGGCUUACCAAGGCCUUGACGGGUAGCCGGCCUGAGAGGGUGACCGGCCACAUUGGGACUGAGAUACGGCCCAGACUCCUACGGGAGGCAGCAGUGGGGAAUAUUGCACAAUGGGCGGAAGCCUGAUGCAGCAACGCCGCGUGCGGGAGGACGGCCUUCGGGUUGUAAACCGCUUUCGCCUGUGACGAAGCGUGAGUGACGGUAAUGGGUAAAGAAGCACCGGCUAACUACGU
This 467-nucleotide ribosomal RNA is filed under the name uncultured bacterium. RNAcentral describes it as "partial 16S ribosomal RNA". It matches the Rfam family "Bacterial small subunit ribosomal RNA", at positions 28 to 506 of the family's 1533-position model. The record is from RNAcentral.